GGGCAGCAGUGAGGAAUAUUGGUCAAUGGGCGUAAGCCUGAACCAGCCAUCCCGCGUGAAGGAAGAAGGCGCUAUGCGUCGUAAACUUCUUUUCCAGAGGAAGAAAACCCCCGACGUGUCGGGGCUUGCCGGUACUCUGGGAAUAAGCAUCGGCUAACUCCGUGCCAGCAGCCGCGGUAAUACGGAGGAUGCGAGCGUUAUCCGGAUUUAUUGGGCGUAAAGAGCACGUAGGCGGUUUAUCGCAUCUCCUGUUAAAUCUCGGAGCUCAACUUCGGGACCGCGGGAGAGAUGGAUAGACUAGAGAUCGGGAUAGGCAAGUGGAAUUGCUGGUGUAGGGGUUAAAUCCGUUAAUAUCAGCAGGAACACCAAAUGCGAAGGCAACUUGCUAGAACGAUUCUGACGCUGAGGUGCGAAAGCGUGGGGAGCGAAUGGGAUUAGAUACCCGUGUAGUC
RNAcentral lists this ribosomal RNA (452 nucleotides) under uncultured microorganism. RNAcentral describes it as "bacterial SSU rRNA". It matches the Rfam family "Bacterial small subunit ribosomal RNA", at positions 346 to 795 of the family's 1533-position model. The record is from RNAcentral.